Molecule: long non-coding RNA, 1293 nt
Organism: Daphnia pulicaria
Lineage: Eukaryota; Metazoa; Arthropoda; Branchiopoda; Diplostraca; Daphniidae
Exons: 6
Source: RefSeq, a predicted model, not a curated record
CAGAGGACAGACCGCGUGUUCAGUAAACUGAGAAUCGAUCUUGAUACUUUUUUUUUCGUUCAUUCUCUAUUGAUUCCGGUUCCAGGGAUUUCUUGUGCAAAUAUCCGUGCAAAUAUCCACCUUUAAAGGAACUUGGAUACAAGAUUCUUGGUGAAAUGAUAUCCAUUUAUGUUGUCUGAUUCCAGACGUUUCAGCACCUUCUGGGCAAAAGUGCUGGACAGUGGAUUGCUGAAACCUGAAAGGGGAAACACCCAGUUGGUAUAAGGCUACAUACUACAAGGCAACAGCAAACAUUAAGUCAAUCACAAAUGAUGGUGAAGAUGAAAAAUCCUUUCCACACACUACCCUAUCUUACAACAACAGCAUGUUCCUGGCUCAUUCGAUCCUCACUCUGAUUGGGUUUCGAUGGCCAUUCAUGCUCAUUUGAUUAAUUUCGUGCCAGCUAGUGAAAGCCGAAAGGCAUGUCAUAUUGACUUAAAUUGAGCUGCUGCGUGCUGUCUCGAAGGAAUGCAAUCAAGCCGUUGCGUUCAGUCAUUUGAAACAGGAAUCUAAUGGCUGUCAAUAGGUGGCUGAAAUGAUGUCCACCAGAUGACGCGAGUGUCUUCACUCUUUGUUCCAAGACGCAGCAGGUUGUUGGUUGUGAUUGACGUUUCUCACGAUGAAAAUUAAAAGGUGAUUUAGCAAGAAGAAACCAAUUGGCCAAAUCAUUCAACUCAGACUUGGAAGUUGGAAGUGCCUGUACAUUUCCGAAAUGGCGUGCCUCGUGUGUCUCGCUGUCUGUUCUUAGGCGUACGUCUCAUCCCAUGCAACAUCAAAAAGUAUAACAAACACUUCUUUAAUGCUGGUGGUUACCUUGUUGCAGCCAAAUGGUGAAAGGUGUGCUGAAGCCAGAUUGAACCGUUGUAUGCAGCAUGUGGUUGCAGUGUAAUCCAGAAGUUGCUGUGCUGUUGUAGCUGAGCUGUUCCAUCUGGGUUCCUGACUUACAAAUUUGUGUGUUGUUGUUUUCAUCCAUGCCAUGAAUUUGUUUUAUCUGUUGUCUUUUGAGUUUUCAUUCAAUCAUGCAGUAUACGACUGAGGCAACCUGAUCAAUAUCAGGUUUGACACAGUCGAGAACUGCUAGAUAAAACAAGCUCUGCGCCAAACAAAUAAUAACUUGCAUAUAACUUGCAUCAUGUUAUUAUCGCGGUAGAGAAAGCGACAGGCCCCCCCUCCUGGGGGCCAUAGGAAAAAUAAAUGUAUGUAUGUGAAUAUUAUGAAAAUAAAUUUUGUAUGAAAUAAAAUAUUCGUAUUAAU